UGGGGAAUUUUGCACAAUGGGGGAAACCCUGAUGCAGCGACGCCGCGUGAUUUAGAAGGCCUUCGGGUUGUAAAAAUCUUUUCUAUGGGAAGAAAAUGACAGUACCAUAGGAAUAAGGACCGGCUAAUUACGUGCCAGCAGCCGCGGUAAUACGUAAGGUCCGAGCGUUGUCCGGAAUCAUUGGGCGUAAAGGGUACGUAGGCGGGUAAGCAAGUUAGAAGUGAAAUCCUAUAGCUCAACUAUAGUAAGCUUUUAAAACUGCUCAUCUUGAGGUAUGGAAGGGAAAGUGGAAUUCCUAGUGUAGCGGUGAAAUGCGCAGAUAUUAGGAGGAAUACCGGUGGCGAAGGCGACUUUCUGGCCAUAACCUGACGCUGAGGUACGAAAGCGGGGGUAGCAAACAGG
This 402-nucleotide ribosomal RNA is filed under the name bacterium. Its description in RNAcentral is "partial 16S ribosomal RNA". It matches the Rfam family "Bacterial small subunit ribosomal RNA", at positions 355 to 776 of the family's 1533-position model. The record is from RNAcentral.